CCUACUUAACUCAAUGGUUAGAGUAUCGCUUUCAUACGGCGAGAGUCAUUGGUUCAAAUCCAAUAGUAGGUA
RNAcentral lists this transfer RNA (72 nucleotides) under Jubula hutchinsiae. Its description in RNAcentral is "tRNA-Met". It matches the Rfam family "tRNA". Rfam says of the family: Transfer RNA (tRNA) molecules are approximately 80 nucleotides in length. Their secondary structure includes four short double-helical elements and three loops (D, anti-codon, and T loops). The record is from RNAcentral. Lineage: Eukaryota; Viridiplantae; Streptophyta; Jungermanniopsida; Porellales; Jubulaceae.